Molecule: long non-coding RNA, 1833 nt
Organism: Callithrix jacchus (white-tufted-ear marmoset)
Lineage: Eukaryota; Metazoa; Chordata; Mammalia; Primates; Cebidae
Source: Ensembl
CAACAAAAAGGCAGUUCUAAACAUAAAUUCAAAUUAUCUAUACUAAACACAGUAGUUCCAAUGUAGUUUAACAGUAGCCACCAUUCAGGCACAGAGCCUUUUCUUUCUGUCACUAACGUCUUCGAAGGUAGGCAUUCGAAGAUUCUCUUCUGUGGGUGACCUUCUCAGCUGAAAUAGGAACGAGAAACAUUAGGAAAAAUAAUAAAUCAUCCUCCGGUGGUGGCUCUGUGGCAGCGAGCAUAUCAGUCACCGAGGACCAAUCUGCUAGCGUGUGUUUUCCUUUUCCCAACCAGUUUAAUCAUAAAUUAAUGGAUACUACCUUUGCUUCUCAUUUCAUUUUGGAGCUGAAAAUGUUGAAAACCAGAUAUUAUUUAUUUUAUAGUUAGAAGACUAUCUCAAAAGCUAACAACUGCUAAAUAUUUUUACAGAAUUUACAUAAGCAAGAAAAUGAACAUCCUCCUGUUAAAAUUUUAGGCAGAGGCUACACUUCAGAAAGUGUUAUUGCAUUUAGAACAUGCAAGACUUUGACCAGGUUAAAUGAAUUGAGGUGCCUCGAUGCCGCUUUAUGCAUCAGAUUUAAAUAAUGACACUAAGCUAAAGCAAUGUCGAGAGGUGGGUAGAGGAGGUUGGUGGUGGUUAGUUUGCUGCCCCCCAAAAAUAAAAAGUUAAAAAAAAAAGCUUUUAAACUGACUGGCUUGCUUCCUUGGGGCAUUUGACCACCUACUUUGGCUGAAAUAUGGAUAUAUAUUAUCCCAAUCAGGAGUUUAUAAUAUCCAAAGCCCAGAAUAGUCUGUGAAUGUGUUUACCUGAAAUGCCUUUUGUGUUGAUUGUUUACAAAAAUCAUGCCGUUCUUCUAAAAACCUUGACUAAUACCUGUUAUAAAGGGUAAAACCAUGAGAAGAGAUUAAUUUCCCACUCAAGUACUUUUUUCUUUCUUUAUGUGGCAUGAGUCAGAGAGAUCAGAACUAAUUAAAGUACUGGCCAACCUUUAAAAGCAGAAAGUCGGUAUUAUCCCUUAAUUCCUCAGGAUUCGAGGGAACAAGGCAAAGGAGGAAUCCCCCUCCCAGCCCUGAGCGUAGCUUCGGAGACAGAGUCACACAGGCUGGGAAGCAAGCAGAGAAGAGCUCAGACCAGCCUGCUCUUCGCUGUUUGGGCUGUGGUGUAGCCUCUACUUUUUUGUUACUUUUACAGUGAAGCUUGAAGAGACUGCCUACCUGGUAACCAGACAAUGAAGGAAAGCUCCGAAGAAACCCCUUUCUUGACUAUAUUUCUGCCUGGAUAGAGCUUCUGCACUUUUCGGCGUGCCACCAAACACAUGGGGGUAAAAGGAGUUGAAGGAGCUUCUGACUAAAGCCCCACCCUCAGCCCAAUGCAUCCCCAACCCCGGAAUGUGCCAUCCUCGGCAAGUAAACCUUUCAGCAGUGCUAACUUGAGUGUGUUUUUCUACUGUUCACAUAUUUGGCACAAUCUAGUAUUUUCAGUCCUUUAUUUUUAAUCAGGUUGGCAAACGUCUCUCAUCUCUGGCUGUUUCUUCCCGUCCACACAGUGGUAAUAGCUUGUGUAAUUAUUACUUGCUACAUGAUCUGCUAUCCCUGUGGAUGUUUAGGCUCAUAUUAUCUUUAACCCCAUCCACCUUUGACAGUGAACUUUUCCCCAGCAUACUCAGCUGGGGAUCAGCUGGCGCCUGAGUUUGAAGGGCAGGACCAAGUUCAGGCCCUGAGGACUACAGACCUCGUUAUAGCUUCCAGACUGAGAGUGAUCGAAGCCUGGAGGGGAGGGUUAGGACUUGCUGCAGAUGUUUCUAAGGCUUUAGAGGACUGACCAAGGAAACAG